AGUCGCCGCGGUAAUACGUAGGGUGCAAGCGUUAAUCGGAAUUACUGGGCGUAAAGCGUGCGCAGGCGGUUAUAUAAGACAGAUGUGAAAUCCCCGGGCUCAACCUGGGAACUGCAUUUGUGACUGUAUAGCUAGAGUACGGCAGAGGGGGAUGGAAUUCCGCGUGUAGCAGUGAAAUGCGUAGAUAUGCGGAGGAACACCGAUGGCGAAGGCAAUCCCCUGGGCCUGUACUGACGCUCAUGCACGAAAGCGUGGGGAGCAAACAGGAUUAGAUACCCGCGUAGUCCCUGUCUCUUAUACA
Molecule: ribosomal RNA, 301 nt
Filed under: uncultured bacterium
Lineage: Bacteria
Description: partial 16S ribosomal RNA
Rfam family: Bacterial small subunit ribosomal RNA
Source: RNAcentral